Molecule: unclassified non-coding RNA, 220 nt
Filed under: Hevea brasiliensis (rubber tree)
Lineage: Eukaryota; Viridiplantae; Streptophyta; Magnoliopsida; Malpighiales; Euphorbiaceae
Source: RNAcentral
GGAAAGAACACGAAGAGAGAAAGGAGAUAGAAGUCUCAAGAACACAGAAAGAGAAUGUUGUGUUCAAUCAGUUACUUCUUAAUUCAAUUACAAUGGACUAUCACUAUUUAUCAGCUGGAAUACUAACUAUUCUCCUAACAAAGAAUGACAUCAAUAACCAACCAGCUACUGACUUUGAUCCUAACAGGCUCCUUUGCUGCAAAAUUUUAUGGGGAAUUAU